Molecule: unclassified non-coding RNA, 374 nt
Filed under: uncultured bacterium
Lineage: Bacteria
Description: contains 16S-23S intergenic spacer region
Source: RNAcentral
UCUCGGCUUAUCACCGGCAGUCCCCUUAGAGUGCCCAACUGAAUGAUGGCAACUAAGGGCGAGGGUUGCGCUCGUUGCGCCACUUAAGGCAACACCUCACGGCACGAGCUGACGACAGCCAUGCAGCACCUGUGCAGGCUCCCGAAGGAGCACCGGCUUUCACCGGUUUCACCCUGCAUGUCAAGCCCUGGUAAGGUUCUUCGCGUUGCGUCGAAUUAAGCCACAUGCUCCGCCGCUUGUGCGGGUCCCCGUCAAUUCCUUUGAGUUUUAAUCUUGCGACCGUACUCCCCAGGCGGGAUGCUUAAUACGUUAGCUGCGCCACCGAAGAGCAAGCUCUCCGACGGCUAGCAUCCAUCGUUUACGGCGUGGACUAC